RNAcentral lists this ribosomal RNA (309 nucleotides) under uncultured Cellulomonas sp. RNAcentral's name for it is "bacterial SSU rRNA". It matches the Rfam family "Bacterial small subunit ribosomal RNA", at positions 1074 to 1382 of the family's 1533-position model. The record is from RNAcentral. Lineage: Bacteria; Bacillati; Actinomycetota; Actinomycetes; Micrococcales; Cellulomonadaceae.
UUUGGGUUAAGUCCCGCAACGAGCGCAACCCUCGUCCUAUGUUGCCAGCGGGUCAUGCCGGGGUACUCAUGGGAGACUGCCGGGGUCAACUCGGAGGAAGGUGGGAUGACGUCAAUCAUCAUGCCCCUUAUGUCUUGGGCUUCACGCAUGCUACAAUGGCCGGUACAAAGGGCUGCGAUACCGCGAGGUGGAGCGAAAUCCCAGAAAGCCGGUCUCAGUUCGGAUUGGGUCUGCAACUCGACCCCAUGAAGUCGGAGUCGCUAGUAAUCGCAGAUCAGCAACGCUGCGGUGAAUACGUUCCCGGGCCUU